AUGUGCGCUACACGGUUGCAUGUGCCAGUGAGGAUGAAAUAUGUCCGUGGAUUGUGCGUGCAAGACCAUGGAAAAGGAGGUCCAACUUGGCAUGUAGUGAGUUGUGUGCCAACUCACAUGUGCCAAGGCAAAAGGGUGGAUGGCAAGAUCGUGUCCCAAGACCACAAACAACUCACGUCCGAGUUCAUCGCUUACAGGCUCUCCAACUCAAUAUCCACACUUCCAACAAUGAGCGUUCAACAUGUCAUUGAUCUUGUGAAAGCCAUCUUUCAUUACAAGGUGAAGUACGGCAAGGCAUGGAAGGCGAAGCAAGCCGCAUUUAAGAUGUUGUAUGGUACUUGGGAGGAAGCAUACAACUGA
RNAcentral lists this ribosomal RNA (360 nucleotides) under Triticum aestivum (bread wheat). RNAcentral describes it as "partial small subunit ribosomal RNA". The record is from RNAcentral. Lineage: Eukaryota; Viridiplantae; Streptophyta; Magnoliopsida; Poales; Poaceae.